RNAcentral lists this ribosomal RNA (740 nucleotides) under Microbacterium lacus. RNAcentral describes it as "bacterial SSU rRNA". It matches the Rfam family "Bacterial small subunit ribosomal RNA", at positions 76 to 830 of the family's 1533-position model. Lineage: Bacteria; Bacillati; Actinomycetota; Actinomycetes; Micrococcales; Microbacteriaceae. The record is from RNAcentral.
GAGCUUGCUCUCUGGAUCAGUGGCGAACGGGUGAGUAACACGUGAGCAAUCUGCCCUUGACUCUGGGAUAAGCGCUGGAAACGGCGUCUAAUACCGGAUACGAGCUGUGAAGGCAUCUUCAACAGCUGGAAAGAACUUCGGUCAAGGAUGAGCUCGCGGCCUAUCAGCUAGUUGGUGAGGUAAUGGCUCACCAAGGCGUCGACGGGUAGCCGGCCUGAGAGGGUGACCGGCCACACUGGGACUGAGACACGGCCCAGACUCCUACGGGAGGCAGCAGUGGGGAAUAUUGCACAAUGGGCGCAAGCCUGAUGCAGCAACGCCGCGUGAGGGACGACGGCCUUCGGGUUGUAAACCUCUUUUAGCAGGGAAGAAGCGAAAGUGACGGUACCUGCAGAAAAAGCACCGGCUAACUACGUGCCAGCAGCCGCGGUAAUACGUAGGGUGCAAGCGUUAUCCGGAAUUAUUGGGCGUAAAGAGCUCGUAGGCGGUUUGUCGCGUCUGCUGUGAAAACUGGGGGCUCAACCCCCAGCCUGCAGUGGGUACGGGCAGACUAGAGUGCGGUAGGGGAGAUUGGAAUUCCUGGUGUAGCGGUGGAAUGCGCAGAUAUCAGGAGGAACACCGAUGGCGAAGGCAGAUCUCUGGGCCGUAACUGACGCUGAGGAGCGAAAGGGUGGGGAGCAAACAGGCUUAGAUACCCUGGUAGUCCACCCCGUAAACGUUGGGAACUAGUUGUGGGGACC